Molecule: ribosomal RNA, 229 nt
Filed under: uncultured bacterium
Lineage: Bacteria
Description: partial 16S ribosomal RNA
Rfam family: Bacterial small subunit ribosomal RNA
Source: RNAcentral
UGCGCAGGCGGAGCGAUCAGUCAGUGGUGAAAUCCUACGGCUCAACCGUAGAACUGCCAUUGAUACUGUCGUUCUUGAGUAUAGUUGAAGUGGGCGGAAUGUGUCAUGUAGCGGUGAAAUGCAUAGAUAUGACACAGAACACCAAUCGCGAAGGCAGCUCACUAAACUACUACUGACGCUCAGGCACGAAAGCGUGGGUAGCGAACCGGAUUAGAUACCCGAGUAGUCC